Molecule: ribosomal RNA, 402 nt
Filed under: uncultured Devosia sp.
Lineage: Bacteria; Pseudomonadati; Pseudomonadota; Alphaproteobacteria; Hyphomicrobiales; Devosiaceae
Description: bacterial SSU rRNA
Rfam family: Bacterial small subunit ribosomal RNA
Source: RNAcentral
UGGGGAAUAUUGGACAAUGGGCGCAAGCCUGAUCCAGCCAUGCCGCGUGAGUGAUGAAGGCCUUAGGGUUGUAAAGCUCUUUCAGUAGGGAAGAUAAUGACGGUACCUACAGAAGAAGCCCCGGCUAACUUCGUGCCAGCAGCCGCGGUAAUACGAAGGGGGCUAGCGUUGUUCGGAUUUACUGGGCGUAAAGCGCACGUAGGCGGAUUGUUAAGUUAGGGGUGAAAUCCCAGGGCUCAACCCUGGAACUGCCUUUAAUACUGGCAAUCUAGAGUCCGGAAGAGGUGAGUGGAACUCCUAGUGUAGAGGUGGAAUUCGUAGAUAUUAGGAAGAACACCAGUGGCGAAGGCGGCUCACUGGUCCGGUACUGACGCUGAGGUGCGAAAGCGUGGGGAGCAAACA